This 507-nucleotide ribosomal RNA is filed under the name uncultured bacterium. RNAcentral's name for it is "bacterial SSU rRNA". It matches the Rfam family "Bacterial small subunit ribosomal RNA", at positions 30 to 529 of the family's 1533-position model. The record is from RNAcentral.
AUUGAACGCUGGCGGCAUGCCUUACACAUGCAAGUCGAACGGUAACAGGUCUUCGGAUGCUGACGAGUGGCGAACGGGUGAGUAAUACAUCGGAACGUGCCCGAUCGUGGGGGAUAACGAAGCGAAAGCUUUGCUAAUACCGCAUACGAUCUACGGAUGAAGGCGGGGGAUCUUCGGACCUCGCGCGGACGGAGCGGCCGAUGGCAGAUUAGGUAGUUGGUGGGAUAAAAGCCUACCAAGCCGACGAUCUGUAGCUGGUCUGAGAGGAUGAUCAGCCACACUGGGACUGAGACACGGCCCAGACUCCUACGGGAGGCAGCAGUGGGGAAUUUUGGACAAUGGGGGAAACCCUGAUCCAGCCAUGCCGCGUGCAGGAUGAAGGCCUUCGGUUGUAAACUAGCUUUUGUUACGGAACGAAAGUACGUCUUCCUAAUACGAAGGGGUGGAUGACGGUACCGUAAGAAUAAGCACCGGCUAACUACGUGCCAGCAGCCGCGGUAACACGAG